UACGAACUUAAAAUCCGUCGACUUUAGAAAUCGUGAGGGUUCAAGUCCCUCUAUCCCCA
Molecule: transfer RNA, 59 nt
Filed under: Persea americana (avocado)
Lineage: Eukaryota; Viridiplantae; Streptophyta; Magnoliopsida; Laurales; Lauraceae
Also listed under: 1 other name
Description: partial tRNA-Leu
Source: RNAcentral